CAUGGCCUCGCUCAGUGGGUUAAGGAUCCAGAGUUGCCGUCAGCUAUGGUGUAGGUCGUAGAUGCAGAGGCUCAGAUCUCAUGUUGCUGUGGCUGUGGUGUAGCUCCAAAUAGACCUCUAUCCUAGGAACUUCCAUAUACCUCAGGUAUGGCCCUAAAAAAAAAAAAAAAGUUUUGUUUAAAAAUGAUAAUAUAAUUACUUAUUUUAUGUAAUAUAAAUUUUAAUAUGCAUAAGUAAGGUAUUUGUUUUAAAUAUUGUAAAUAGGCAGUUGACUACCUCACUUGCAUCUCUAAAUAUUUUUAUGUUGAAACUGACCGAAAAAAAAUCUUUAAUCGGAUUAUCUCAUUGGAAAAGUGGGGAGUUGCCUUAUGUCAUGAUCACCUUACAUUGUUAAGAUUUCUUAAAUUUUCUCAAAAAAUUUAUUUUCAACAUUUUCCAAAUAUGGCCGUGAGAUUCCUUUUUUUUUUUUGUUUUUUGUUUUUGUUUUUGUCUUUUUGCCGUUUCUUGGGCCGCUCCCGUGACAUAUGGAGGUUCCCAGGCUAGGGGUCAAAUCGGAGCUGUAGCCACCGGCCUACACCAGAGCCAUAGCAACAGGGGAUCUGAGCCGCGUCUGCAACCCACACCACAGCCCACGGCAACGCCGGAUCGUUAACCCACUGAGCAAGGGCAGGGACCGAAACCGCAACCUCAUGGUUCCUAGUCGGAUUCGUUAACCACUGCGCCACGACGGGAACUCCUGAAAGUGAGAUUCCUUUUACUUAUUGCUUUUCUAACCAUAUACCUUUUUUUUUUUUUUUGUCCUGUUUUGUAGGGCUUUCAGAUUCAGACAACUUUUAUUCCACAGCACUGUAAAAUAUCUUGUAACUGAAUAGAUGGCAUAAAAACAGCUAUGUGUCAGAGGUGCCAUAAAACCACGGACAAGACAGAGGAGAUCUAUGUAUGUAUAUAUAUAUACAUAUAUAUAUGGAGAGAGCAAGAGAGAGAGAGAGAUCCAUCUUAUAUACGGAGAGAGAUAAAGUCCUACGUUGGAUUAGCUGUCUGCAGAAUGUGGGUGAGCCAUUACCUCAGUUUCCCUCUAUCUCCUCUAGUCCUGAGGUCCC
RNAcentral lists this long non-coding RNA (1100 nucleotides) under Sus scrofa (pig). RNAcentral describes it as "lncRNA (ENSSSCG00015003429.1)". Lineage: Eukaryota; Metazoa; Chordata; Mammalia; Artiodactyla; Suidae. The record is from RNAcentral.